ACACACGCUCUGACCGUGGCCACGUCCCCCCCCUCCCCCUUGCUCGGCUCCCUUCGACUCCGCGUGAACGCCGCAAUAGCUACCCGCACAAUGCACCAAGAGCAUAUCCAGCGGCUCACCUCACACGAUGCCGCUGUGCUGCGUGCCAGCCACGAGUUUCCGACCUUCACAGACGCGUUUGCCCGCGUUGUACAGGUCGGACUGCCAGAGCUGGAGGCGGAAGUUGGCAGGAUUCCUUCUUCAUAUAGAGUGAACGAUGCCUUACACGGCGUGGCCGUGUCGCUCUGUCUCCCAGCACUCGCGUGGGACAUCACGCGAACAUGCGUUCUGCCCGUCACGGACGAGUUGCGAAGAAGGACAGAGGCGGAGGUAGCCGGUGAUGUGGCAAUCUCAGGAGCAGAAGGCGGCACGGAGAAACGAAAUCACGCCGCACUACGACCUGAUGGACUUGAGCUCUUUGGCCGCCUAGCCGCCAUCUGCGCUGAUGUCUCCGUGAGUGUCUGCCUGGAAGUGGUGGAAAGCGCCGCGGUGCAAGGCGACGGUGGUGUCGCCGCGCGCCCGUCGGACGAGUCGCCGCUCUGCCUCCUUGUGCGGCCCCUUGUGCCGGAGACGCGGUGGCACUGUGGCCAGCAGAUACCCCUCGCUGAGAAGCACGUGUGCGGGCAUCCGUAUACGAGCCGCAGCCCUUCAUGUCGUGAUGGUGGUGUUUUCUCUUCUCGCGACCGUCUCCCGGAUAUUAGUGGAAGAGCAAGGGAGCGAUGCAAUCUCGUGCGCCUGAUCACCGUGUGUCGAGUACGCGGACUUUUCCACAACCUGCCAGUGCGCCAGACCCCUUAUGUAGGACUGGUCGGCACCUGUAGCUACGGCGUUCUCAUCGGCCGCAGCAGCGGCGGUAACGACGUUUCGUGGAAGACUGCGAGUGAACGCGAUCGGGGGGGGCUCUUUCGCCGCCGCACCUUGUGGGCCUGCAAGUCGGCGUCUGCCAUGCGGGCACGGCGGGAGGAGCAGCAGCACCUCGUGGCGGUUGUGUUCCAGACCGCGGUGUGUGCUUUGCUGGCACCGCUGUAUCUGGCCGGCAGACCUCUCGACGCAAGUGGAGGCAGAGACGCGUCGCUCGCCCGGUGCUCUUUCCUGGCGCAGGGUGCCUCUACCUUCUCUGCAAAGUUGAUCGUCGAGUAUGACUUCUGCGGGGACGCGGGCGCUCCCCGACGUGCGCCAGCUGAGACACUCCCAUUGCGCCCUCUUUCGCUCUCUACAUCGCUUCGCUGCGCCUCUGCCCCGCGCACAGGUCGUGCUAGCAGUGGCAUACACCCUGACUCCGUAGCAGCGGCGGGACUGCGCGUGGAUCGUCACGGCUUGUACAGCGGCGCUCUCCGGGUGCGGCAGGCAUCACGAGAGGUUGACAUUGGCGGAAGGGCAGGACGCCGACUCACACGAGGCGAGGCGACGGCGCGUCGUCUGUGUCACGCAUUCGGCAUCUCGGUGCCAGACCCCUCAUCUGUGUCGUCACCGUCCGCCACCCGUGCCGAUGCGCGUGCGCGACGAUUGUGUCCAUCUUCUGCGGCCGCCGCGAGCCGCGAAGGCGGUGCAUGGACCCCGGAGGAGACGACGGCAGAGGGAGUGUUGACAGAGGUAGUGGUGCGGCCUGGACACUUUGCAGUUCUCUUCGCCACCCCUCCCCCGCUGAGCGCCAGCGCCUUCCCUGCCCGCCAGGCACCGAGCGCGGCAGAGAGCCUCAGUUUUUCGUCGCUUCCUGAGCACCACAUGACCUUCUUUAUGAUACUCGUGCGAGAUGGUCAAGCGCAUCCUCCAGAAGACGAUGGCUGUCGCGGAAGAUCAGUUCCUCCGUCUUCAGCGUUGUGUCCGACGCAUUGCCGUGUGCUGGAACCUACGCACUGGGCCUACGGCAUUGUCGCUACCAACGCUCAUCGACGUCACCACGGCGCACAUCCGCUGCCAGGGGGGCCGAUCUCAGCAGCAGCAGCAACAGCGGUCCCAGUGUUUGUUUUUGUUGACAGUGCGUACGUCCCUGCCCGUAUCUCCGAGGCCCGACAGCGGGCCCGACACGGAGUUUCGGCACAGCAGUCUUUUGUGCAGCUCUACGACGAAGCACUGCGGCGCCUCACUAGCAGUUUGCGCGGGAGCGAGAGUCAGAAUGGCCCCCUCAGGGACGGCGAGAAGAUUCUGCCGGCCCAAGCAACUCCUCCGCACACGACCACGCCGGAUCCGCAGCAGCAGCAGCCCUCUUGCGUCUCACACCAUGUGCUUGCAAAGCAGGAGGCUGCGGAGGUGCAGUUACGAGUGCGAUAUCUCUGUCAACGGGUGCUAGAGGCCGCUGCCGUUCCUGGGACGCAGUCGUACGUGCCAGCGCUGCCCUCGAAAAGGCGCCGCGUUUUGACCGCGUCUUCGGAGGGUGUGGCUGGUCGCACUGGAGCUCUACAUCACGUGCAGCUCAACCCCGCCUCGCUGCUGUGGUUGAGCGCUACCGAUCGCGGAGUCAACCCCACGGCAACCGCGCCGCGUCGCACCCCCGUCACUCUCGACCGCAACCUGCACCGCAUCACCAGAGAGGAAGAGGAGGAACAGGCCGCACUGCGCUCUCGCCCUCCUUUGGAAACAGCGCCAUCCUCUCGCGAGGCGUCUGCCACUGCACAUCACUCACCGGCUGUUCAGGCCUCCAACACGGUGGAAGGGCUGACGCGAAUGCGACACCUCCUGGACACGGGGCGUGGGAGUGCGCUACGUCGAUUGCCCCGCGCCUGCGCGCCACCGUGUCCGUGGAUGCCAGAGAGGGGAAGCAACAGAGGUGACGAAAGCAGUGGCUUUGAUGCGGCCGAAGGUGCCACAACAACUGCCUCGGCCGGUGCCAUACCACCCAUCACCACUGCCUUCUCAGCGCGUGUGUCGGUGCUCCAGUGGGCACGCAAGUUUCUGAUCAUUGCUUCCCCUACCACCCCGCAGCGUGCGUCCAAGCCAAGCUGUGGCCCUGCAGCAGUGCUUCCUCAAGGUCCCGUAUGCCGUCCUCAACCACACGCGUUGCAGUGGUGGGUCGCGGAUCAGCACGCGGUGCACGAGCGGGUGCGGCUAGAGUUCUUUCUCUGCUUUGCUGACACCUACGUGUGUCACCCCGAGCUGCCGCGUGGCGUGGAGCGCGCCGCGAGUGAGUGCUUGAUCGCCGGGUCUGGCACGGUCUCGGAAUGCGUGCCUCGUACCUCCUUGCCGCUGACCCCCCACGCACGGAAGGCACUCGAGCGUCGGCACCGCGUUGCACAGCUGCUGUGGUCGCACGCAGUCACUGGUGCCGCAUGUUCGCCGAGUGCGUCUUCGGCGGCGGCUUCAUUCUCUGUGUCCCUGCCGGCCGAGUGGCGUCUGCGUGUGACCGCCGUGGAGGCACAUCUGCGUCAGUGGGGAUGGCGGUUCCAUCACGAAGCUGUGGCAGCCGUGCACCGAGGAGAGAUGCAGUGCAGCAGAGCCGUUGCCUGGGCCAGCGGCGUGCGUGUUGGCCAGUCCGCGUAUUCACGCACAUGGCCCGCACUGGCCACAGCGAUUGUGGCAUGGCCGUGCUUGAAGGUUGAGGGGGUCGUUCGCCAUGUCACCUCUAUGCAAGCGCUGCGGCAAACGGUGGAGGAGCUGGAGGCGGUGGGCGCCGCAGCGACUGCCGCAUUUGACAGCGCCUUCGUGCCUCCGCAAUCUGCUCUCACAGAUCCCGUCUCUUUAUGCUGCCGCGGUCCGGGGCCAUCACAAGUGCCGUGCUCCUCGUCGCCGUGUCCGCUGCUCAUUCCCUCGGUGUUUCUCGAAUUCUUCAUCUCCCGCUCCUGUCGCGGGGCCAUCAUGUUCGGCGACGUUCUUCGCCCCACCGCGGCGCGCUCUAUGGUGGCGGCGCUGGACUGCGUCGAACAGUACUACGUGUGUUCGCACGGCCGCCCCUCCUUCGCCCACCUCACCCCUGCACACUAGCGGGAAGCGGAGGCUCGCGCGUGCCUUUCAUUCUGUGGAGUUGUUGCCUCUGCUCUGCUCAUGUCUGCUACGUCAGCCAGAAGGCUGAUCCGAUACGACGGGGCGACAGACAAUCAAGCCAGCGCGCAAGCACCACUGUGCCCCAUCGCAGCCGCCCCUCCCCUUCUCCCUCGCUCACCCCCUACCCCCCCCCCUGCGUCAGGGGAGGACAAAGCGCAGCGUUCGGGCACGAGACAGAAACGGGGCCGGUGGAUGGCGUGCGUUGGCUUUCAUGUUGUGCUGCACGUUCACGGGGCUGAUGCGCCUCCUCAUUGAUCGGUGGCCGUUGCACGCUGCCUCCUUCCCCCCCCCUCCUCCGCCCUCACUCCUAUACUCCAUAUCCUGUCUCCUCUUUCACGGCACACACGCAUACACGGACUUCAACGCGCAG
This 4387-nucleotide unclassified non-coding RNA is filed under the name Leishmania donovani. Its description in RNAcentral is "gene:LdHU3.17.1190(CDS-product:hypothetical_prote in_conserved)". The record is from RNAcentral. Lineage: Eukaryota; Euglenozoa; Kinetoplastea; Trypanosomatida; Trypanosomatidae.